This 497-nucleotide ribosomal RNA is filed under the name uncultured bacterium. RNAcentral describes it as "partial 16S ribosomal RNA". It matches the Rfam family "Bacterial small subunit ribosomal RNA", at positions 38 to 507 of the family's 1533-position model. The record is from RNAcentral.
GGGGGGGGGGGGCGGGGGGGCUGGUGGGGGGAGGGCGGGGGGGCGGCCGGGGGGCUUGCGUCGCGGCUGGUAGCGGCGGACGGGGGAGGAACGCGUGGCUACCCUACCUAUAAGACGGGGAUAACUUCGGGAAACCGUAGCUACUCCCGGAUAAUAGUUUGACCCUCGUGGUGCCACAGUGACACACGGUCUUGCUGUCACUUAUCGCUGGACCCGCGCUGCAUUAGCUAGUUGGUAAGGUAACGGCUUACCAAGGCCACGCUGCAUAGCCGACCUGAGAGGGUGAUCGGCCCCACUGGACUUGAGACACGGUCCAGACUCCUACGGGAGGCAGCAGUAGGGAAUCUUCCGCAAUGGGCGAAAGCCUGACGGAGCAACGCCGCGUGAGUGAUGAAGGUCUUCGGAUCGUAAAACUCUGUUAGUAGGGAAGAACAUAUGUGUAAGUAACUGUGCACAUCUUGACGGUACCUAAUCAGAAAGCCACGGCUAACUACGUG